This is a long non-coding RNA of Pristis pectinata (smalltooth sawfish), 1105 nucleotides long. RefSeq lists it as uncharacterized. NCBI's taxonomy places the organism in Eukaryota, Metazoa, Chordata, Chondrichthyes, Rhinopristiformes, Pristidae. The record is from RefSeq and is a predicted model, not a curated record. The transcript has 2 exons.
GAGCGAGAGAGGGAGGAAAGGGGGGUGGAUAACGGACACGCGUCGGUCCGACCGCCACACUUUACCUCACAAAACAAUAAAAUAUAUAUAAACCCGGCGAUACUCACGGGGAAAAAAAGCCUCGAGCUGUAUUUAAGACGACGGGUGGCAGUCGGUGCGGCCGGAAACUGGGCGGGGGUUGGUGUGCUGAUGGGGAGUGGACAUUAAAGCCGCUGCUGUUGAGGAGGAAGACCAGCAGCCCGGCCUUUUAAAACUCUUGGAUUUCCCACACCUUCCCCCCCCCCCCCCUCUAGUUUUUUAAUUUUAUCUUUUUAACCAGUGCACUGGCUGAGGUAGUAGUUUGUGUUGUUGGAAGGGUCUGUGACACUGCCCAGUAUGGAGAUAACUGCGCAAGCUACUGCCUUGCUAGUGCUGGUGACUAACAUCAUUGCAACAUUCCCCCCUCUUUCUCUCUCCCUCCCUCUCCCCCCCCCCCCCCGCAAAGUAUUUAAUCUAAUUUCUAUUUGGGAAUCUUGCAAAUGUCAUCUAAUUGUAUUGUGGGUUGCUUUUAAAAUGCACGUGAUUGAGUUUUAUUUUGCACUGGUUGUUCAUAGGCCUUUGCUUGACCCCCAUGUUACAUAAACUCCAGUCAUGAGAUGACUUGGGUUAUUUGAUUUCCUUAAUGGAGCAUGAAGUACAAAAAAAUAGGAAUCUUGCUCCUUUGUUUUAUUUAACCUGCUUAGAGAUGUUCUUUAAAUUGAUCUUGUAUAAAAGAUUUUCCUUAAUUUAAGGGCACAUGCAGUGAGUGAAUUUCUUCAUUUUGAAGCUUAUUUUAUGUAAUGGGGACUGAACAAAAGAUCUACUCUGUUUAGAUUGCUUCCCUUCUCCCUAGAACUUCUAAUCAAUGCUUGUUUCUUGCAAUGCAGUAACAAAAUUAUUGCAAACCUGAGGGAGGCUAGGAGCCAAAUUAUAUGGCAAUUAUUUAUAGGAUGUGAUAAGUUUACUUUUGACUUGGUCUGUACAGACUGCAAAAGCACUCUGCUGUUCAUAUCUGGAAUUGAUGUCACUUGUAUAAAUUGACACACUGUAUUACCAUUUCUUCUAAUUAAAGCAGUUUAAAUAGCAA